Etheostoma cragini (Arkansas darter) is the source of this 395-nucleotide long non-coding RNA. RefSeq lists it as uncharacterized. The record is from RefSeq and is a predicted model, not a curated record. Lineage: Eukaryota; Metazoa; Chordata; Actinopteri; Perciformes; Percidae. The transcript has 3 exons.
UAUUUCAUACAUACAUAACACCACUGAGUUUGCUCAUAUAUUGGCCAAAGUUAAGCACAUACUCUUUAAUACAGCAGGUCUGUACCAUUGGCAAUGCUACCUUGACUUGUGGGAGAUGGGAGUUCAUGAUAGCUUAUUUUGGAAUCAUUUAAUUACUUCAGAGGAUUUUAAGAUCAAUUACAAAUCUGUCACUCACUGUUGAAAGAGGACGUGGGUGGAAUCCAGUAUUUCUGUAAAUUAAUAGGAGGGAUGGGGACCGAUCACUUAAAUAAUAAGUUCUUAUUUAUUUGUGUAUUCUGCUUCGGAGUCCUUGUAUAUCCACAUGUAAAAAUGCUUUCUUCUAAUUUGUUGACGCUCUCUAUGUAGUCUACUGCAUUAAAAAACUUUGCAUUGCA